Molecule: ribosomal RNA, 374 nt
Filed under: uncultured bacterium
Lineage: Bacteria
Description: bacterial SSU rRNA
Rfam family: Bacterial small subunit ribosomal RNA
Source: RNAcentral
UAAUACGGAGGGUGCAAGCGUUAUCCGGAUUUACUGGGUUUAAAGGGUGCGUAGGCGGGAAAAUAAGUCAGUGGUGAAAGCACCGGGCUCAACUCGGUAACUGCCAUUGAUACUGUUUUUCUUGAAUGCGAUUGAGGUAAGCGGAAUGUUGCAUGUAGCGGUGAAAUGCUUAGAUAUGUUACAGAACACCAAUUGUGAAGACAGCUUACUAAGUCGUGAUUGACGCUGAGGCACGAAAGCGUGGGGAGCAAACAGGAUUAGAUACCCUGGUAGUCCACGCCCUAAACGAUGAUUACUCGACAUUGGCGAUAUACAGAUCAGUGUCUGAGCGAAAGCGUUAAGUAAUCCACCUGGGGAGUACGCUCGCAAGAGUG